GCCCGCACAAGCGGCGGAGCAUGNGGAUUAAUUCGAUGCAACGCGAAGAACCUUACCAAGGCUUGACAUGUGCCAGACCGGAUCAGAGAUGGUCUUUCCCUUCGGGGCUGGUUCACAGGUGGUGCAUGGUUGUCGUCAGCUCGUGUCGUGAGAUGUUGGGUUAAGUCCCGCAACGAGCGCAACCCUCGUUCCAUGUUGCCAGCACGUAGUGGUGGGGACUCAUGGGAGACUGCCGGGGUCAACUCGGAGGAAGGUGGGGAUGACGUCAAAUCAUCAUGCCCCUUAUGUCUUGGGCUUCACGCAUGCUACAAUGGCCGGUACAAUGGGUUGCGAUACUGUGAGGUGGAGCUAAUCCCUAAAAGCCGGUCUCAGUUCGGAUUGGGGUNUGCAACUCGACCCCAUGAAGUCGGAGUCGCUAGUAAUCGCAGAUCAGCAACGNUGCGGUGAAUACGUUCCCGGGCCUUGUACACACCGCCCGUCAAGUCACGAAAGUUGGUAACACCCGAAGCCGAUGGCCUAACCACCUUGUGUGGGGGGAGUCGUCGAAGGUGGGAUCUGGCGAUUGGGA
RNAcentral lists this ribosomal RNA (568 nucleotides) under Arthrobacter sp. 352G. RNAcentral describes it as "bacterial SSU rRNA". It matches the Rfam family "Bacterial small subunit ribosomal RNA", at positions 919 to 1480 of the family's 1533-position model. Lineage: Bacteria; Bacillati; Actinomycetota; Actinomycetes; Micrococcales; Micrococcaceae. The record is from RNAcentral.